This 554-nucleotide ribosomal RNA is filed under the name uncultured bacterium. Its description in RNAcentral is "partial 16S ribosomal RNA". It matches the Rfam family "Bacterial small subunit ribosomal RNA", at positions 355 to 902 of the family's 1533-position model. The record is from RNAcentral.
UGGGGAAUUUUGGACAAUGGGCGAAAGCCUGAUCCAGCAAUGCCGCGUGUGUGAAGAAGGCCUUCGGGUUGUAAAGCACUUUUGUCCGGAAAGAAAUCCUUGGCUCUAAUACAGUCGGGGGGAUGACGGUACCGGAAGAAUAAGCACCGGCUAACUACGUGCCAGCAGCCGCGGUAAUACGUAGGGUGCAAGCGUUAAUCGGAAUUACUGGGCGUAAAGCGUGCGCAGGCGGUUUGCUAAGACCGAUGUGAAAUCCCCGGGCUCAACCUGGGAACUGCAUUGGUGACUGGCAGGCUAGAGUAUGGCAGAGGGGGUAGAAUUCCACGUGUAGCAGUGAAAUGCGUAGAGAUGUGGAGGAAUACCGAUGGCGAAGGCAGCCCCCUGGGCCAAUACUGACGCUCAUGCACGAAAGCGUGGGGAGCAAACAGGAUUAGAUACCCUGGUAGUCCACGCCCUAAACGAUGUCAACUAGUUGUUGGGGAUUCAUUUCCUUAGUAACGUAGCUAACGCGUGAAGUUGACCGCCUGGGGAGUACGGUCGCAAGAUUAAAACUC